This 240-nucleotide ribosomal RNA is filed under the name uncultured archaeon. Its description in RNAcentral is "partial 16S ribosomal RNA". It matches the Rfam family "Archaeal small subunit ribosomal RNA", at positions 752 to 993 of the family's 1478-position model. The record is from RNAcentral.
AUGCCGUUUAGGUGUAUUCGGGAUGACCACCAGUCAUCGCCGGUGCCGAAGGGAAACCGGUGUAGCGUGCCGCCUGGGAAGUACGGUCGCAAGGCUGAAACUUAAAGGAAUUGGCGGGGGAGCACCACAACGGGGUGGAGCCUGCGGUUUAAUUGGACUCAACGCCGGACAUCUCACCGGGAAAGACAGCUGAAUGAUAGCCGGGCUGAAGACUCUGCUUGACUAGCUGAGAGGAGGUGC